RNAcentral lists this ribosomal RNA (335 nucleotides) under uncultured bacterium. RNAcentral describes it as "bacterial SSU rRNA". It matches the Rfam family "Bacterial small subunit ribosomal RNA", at positions 72 to 422 of the family's 1533-position model. The record is from RNAcentral.
AAGUGGAGCAAUCCAUGAGUAUAGUGGCGACCGGGUGAGUAACACGUGACUACCUGCCCUUGAGUGGGGGAUAACCUCGGGAAACCGAGGCUAAUACCGCAUAAUAUCGCAAGAUCAAAGCAGUAAUGCGCUUGAGGAGGGGGUCGCGGCUGAUUAGCUAGUUGGUAAGGUAAUGGCUUACCAAGGCGAAGAUCGGUAUCCGGCCUGAGAGGGCGCACGGACACACUGGAACUGAAACACGGUCCAGACUCCUACGGGAGGCAGCAGUGGGGAAUUUUGCGCAAUGGGGGAAACCCUGACGCAGCAACGCCGCGUGGAGGAUGAAGCCCCUUGGG